Camelus ferus (Wild Bactrian camel) is the source of this 72-nucleotide transfer RNA. It matches the Rfam family "tRNA". From Rfam's summary of the family: Transfer RNA (tRNA) molecules are approximately 80 nucleotides in length. The record is from Rfam. Lineage: Eukaryota; Metazoa; Chordata; Mammalia; Artiodactyla; Camelidae.
AGGGGCAUAGCUGACUGGUAGAGUGCAUGCCUAGCACGCACAAGGUCCUGGGUUUAAUCCCCAGUAUCUCCA